CCUCGCACAUGCUAGGAAAGCACUCUACCACUGAGCCACAACCCCAGCUCCAUAAUUAUAUUUUGCUUUAACACUUAACUGUAAACUCCACAAAGACAUUCCCCACUCCUCUGCUAGUAGUUCUAAUCUCCGACAAAAUAAUCCAAACUACUGAUGAGGAUUCAAAGAGAUUGUUCUGCUACACUGUUCAGAUAUAACAGGAGAUGUGACAACUGGUCAGCUCCCAGGUUUGCAUUUCUAUUCAGGUGGAACCUCUUAGACCCAAUCAAAUUCUAAGGAUGGGACUCUGGCCCUGGACAGACAAGGGUCAGUCAAACUUAGGUCAGUUUCUGUGACCAGAGACAUAAUGCCAUGAAGUAAUAAUCUUUCGUGUCAGAAUUCAGUCUGGUGAUCUUGUGGGUCAGCUAGGUCAGUUCCUAGGGAGGAGCAUCACUAAGUGGAAAAUUUAAUAGGUUUCCACUUACAAGACUAAUUUAAUACAAGUGGCUAAAAGGCUGUCUUUUUUUAAAAAAUAGGCACAAUUUAUUAUUUAAUGCAUACAUUGAUGAUGGAUUUAUAUUUAAAGGUAGAAUAAUGUUACUCUUCAUCUUCAGAAUUCUUCAACAAAUUUACCAUUCCUCUGUAACAAUCUAUAGGAUAAAUCUCAAACUUGUACCUUCCCUCACAGAAGAAUCACUAAAAUCUGGCUCUAGACUUCUAAUCAGGUACAGUUUUGCAUCCCUUCCUGAUCCAUCAGCCAAAAUGAAGAAUUUCUCCUUAAUCUCAACUUCUUCUCCAUGCCUUUGGUUAUCUGUUUAGUUUGAAAUCUCUUUCCCAUCCAACAUGGCGGCGGGCGGAGAGGCAGCGUUUUCAAUACCCCCCCCCCCAGUGAUGGGGUCAUAAAGACGCAUAGAUAACGCUUAGAUUCUACCAACGGAGAUCUCCUAGCAAAAUUCCACUGAAGAGAGACAGGCCGGGAGCUACUAGGAUUUUUUUUUUAAAUUUUUUAUU
Marmota flaviventris (yellow-bellied marmot) is the source of this 990-nucleotide long non-coding RNA. RefSeq lists it as uncharacterized. Lineage: Eukaryota; Metazoa; Chordata; Mammalia; Rodentia; Sciuridae. The record is from RefSeq and is a predicted model, not a curated record.